This 442-nucleotide ribosomal RNA is filed under the name uncultured bacterium. RNAcentral describes it as "bacterial SSU rRNA". It matches the Rfam family "Bacterial small subunit ribosomal RNA", at positions 28 to 450 of the family's 1533-position model. The record is from RNAcentral.
GACAAACGCUGGCGGCGUGCCUAACACAUGCAAGUCGAACGGAACUGUUUUGAAAGAUUUCUUCGGAAUGAAUUUGAUUUAGUUUAGUGGCGGACGGGUGAGUAACGCGUGAGUAACCUGCCUUCAAGAGGGGGGUAACAUUCUGAAAAGAAUGCUAAUACCGCAUGACAUAUCGGAAUCACAUGAUUUUGAUAUCAAAGAUUUUAUCGCUUGAAGAUGGACUCGCGUCCGAUUAGUUAGUUGGUGAGGUAACGGCUCACCAAGACCGCGAUCGGUAGCCGGACUGAGAGGUUGAACGGCCACAUUGGGACUGAGACACGGCCCAGACUCCUACGGGAGGCAGCAGUGGGGGAUAUUGCGCAAUGGGGGCAACCCUGACGCAGCAACGCCGCGUGAAGGAUGAAGGUUUUCGGAUUGUAAACUUCUUUUAUUAAGGACGAAA